Meriones unguiculatus (Mongolian gerbil) is the source of this 435-nucleotide long non-coding RNA. RefSeq lists it as uncharacterized. Lineage: Eukaryota; Metazoa; Chordata; Mammalia; Rodentia; Muridae. The transcript has 3 exons. The record is from RefSeq and is a predicted model, not a curated record.
GCAGCGGCGGCGGCAGGAACUGUGACAUUUUACAGGGCGUGUUCUUCACCAAAAAUCAAGGGCAUCGUAUUAAAACACAAUUCAGUAAAGAGUCGGAGCAAAACAGACCUUAAGGGAUGCGGUUGGACCCGAGGAUGAAGGGAGGAGAUCUGGCAUGUACUGCGUGAUACGGCAGCUUGGAGCCACGCAUGAACUGACACGUGCAGACAGAGGGUCUGUUGCAACAAGCACUCUCAAGGAAGCCAGGAAACAGGAUGAGAUACAGCAUCAGUCUCCACCCACUGAGCCACUGAAGGAAACUUGGCUUGUCCACCCCCUGUGUGAACUCUGAAGGCUUCAAGAUGCCCUGCAUCAUUUAUCCGCUGGUGCGAGCCACAUCUGUCCCCCGUUUAUCAUGAAGAAUUUCGAACAUUCAGAAAUGCGGAGUGAAUGGUA